GUUUGAUUCCUGGCUCAGAUUGAACGCUGGCGGCAGGCCUAACCAUGCAGUCGAGCGGAUGAGGGAGCUUGCUCCUGGAUUCAGCGGCGGACGGGUGAGUAAUGCCUAGGAAUCUGCCUGGUAGUGGGGGAUAACGUCCGGAAACGGGCGCUAAUACCGCAUACGUCCUGAGGGAGAAAGUGGGGGAUCUUCGGACCUCACGCUAUCAGAUGAGCCUAGGUCGGAUUAGCUAGUUGGUGGGGUAAAGGCCUACCAAGGCGACGAUCCGUAACUGGUCUGAGAGGAUGAUCAGUCACACUGGAACUGAGACACGGUCCAGACUCCUACGGGAGGCAGCAGUGGGGAAUAUUGGACAAUGGGCGAAAGCCUGAUCCAGCCAUGCCGCGUGUGUGAAGAAGGUCUUCGGAUUGUAAAGCACUUUAAGUUGGGAGGAAGGGCAGUAAGUUAAUACCUUGCUGUUUUGACGUUACCAACAGAAUAAGCACCGGCUAACUUCGUGCCAGCAGCCGCGGUAAUACGAAGGGUGCAAGCGUUAAUCGGAAUUACUGGGCGUAAAGCGCGCGUAGGUGGUUCAGCAAGUUGGAUGUGAAAUCCCCGGGCUCAACCUGGGAACUGCAUCCAAAACUACUGAGCUAGAGUACGGUAGAGGGUGGUGGAAUUUCCUGUGUAGCGGUGAAAUGCGUAGAUAUAGGAAGGAACACCCAGUGGCGAAGGCGACCACCUGGACUGAUACUGACACUGAGGUGCGAAAGCGUGGGGAGCAAACAGGAUUAGAUACCUGGGGUAGU
This 788-nucleotide ribosomal RNA is filed under the name Pseudomonas aeruginosa. Its description in RNAcentral is "bacterial SSU rRNA". It matches the Rfam family "Bacterial small subunit ribosomal RNA", at positions 11 to 794 of the family's 1533-position model. Lineage: Bacteria; Pseudomonadati; Pseudomonadota; Gammaproteobacteria; Pseudomonadales; Pseudomonadaceae. The record is from RNAcentral.